CAUUAUUGAAAUAAACCUGAUGGGUUGUUGCUGGUUCUCUAGGGAGCAUGUGCACACCUUGUCAUCUUUAUAUCUCCACCUGUGCACUUUUUGUAGACCUUUCAGGUCUAUGUUGCUUCAUUUACCCCAAUGUAUGUUAAUAGAAUGUUGUGCCUAUAUAAUAUAUACAACUUUCAGCAACGGAUCUCUUGGCUCUCGCAUCGAUGAAGAACGCAGCGAAAUGCGAUAAGUAAUGUGAAUUGCAGAAUUCAGUGAAUCAUCGAAUCUUUGAACGCACCUUGCGCUCCUUGGUAUUCCGAGGAGCAUGCCUGUUUGAGUGUCAUUAAUAUAUCAACCUUCUCUUUUUUGAGUUGUUUGGAUGUGGGGGUUUGCUGGCCUCUUAAAUGAUUCAGCUCCCCUGAAAUGCAUUAGCAGAACAACCUGUUCAUUGGCGUGAUAAUUAUCUAUGCUAUUGAAUGUGAGGGGCAGUUCAGCUUUCUAACCGUCCUCGGACAAUUCAUCAUUAAUGUGACCUCAAAUCAGGUAGGACUACCCGCUGAACUU
Molecule: ribosomal RNA, 543 nt
Filed under: uncultured fungus
Lineage: Eukaryota; Fungi
Description: eukaryotic LSU rRNA
Rfam family: 5.8S ribosomal RNA (bases 169-322)
Source: RNAcentral